RNAcentral lists this long non-coding RNA (640 nucleotides) under Bos taurus (domestic cattle). Its description in RNAcentral is "long non-coding RNA NONBTAT006650". Lineage: Eukaryota; Metazoa; Chordata; Mammalia; Artiodactyla; Bovidae. The record is from RNAcentral.
AGCUAGCUAUCAUACACUAAACACUGUGCCAACUCCUGGAGAUACAAAUAAAAGUAAGACUGGGCUAGUACUCCAUGUGAUUUUAGGUUAGAGAAAGUAGAUUUAAGGGAGGACCAGCAAGUCUCUUGAAAACAUACUUGAAGCCAAUGUCAUUUCCUAUAUUUUUAAAGAUGUAGACAGUAAUAAGGACACUACACAUACACGAGUACAUAAGGAUGUCCCUCUCCUACGUCCUCCUCAGGAAUAAAUUGAGGAUGAGGGAUAAUGCCAGUCAGGUAUUAGGAUCACAAUAUCUUGACACAAUCCCUUUGGAGUUUUGGGAACCCCAAAAUACAUGCAUUCUGCUACCUCUCUUAAAAUUGAUCUUUAAAGAUUCUCAGUAGAGCAAGAAUGAAUGUUCUCAGAUUUGAAGGGUUUUCUUUCCCACAGGGAGUUCAUAAGCAGUGUUUCAGUAGAGAGAGUGAGGUGUCAGCUUUACUGAGGCCCCAUAAUUUAGAGGAAGGAAAACAAAGAUAUGCAAUAACAGGGAGAUAAUUUAAUUCCUGUCUGUCAGCUGUUCACAAAUAUAGAUAUACCCAAAGUGCUACUUGAACACCAAGGAAGGAUUACAAACCCGGCUGGUGAAGCUAUGUGGAGAGGA